CAGUCGCCGCGGUAAUGCGGAGGGGGCUAGCGUUGUUCGGAAUUACUGGGCGUAAAGCGCACGUAGGCGGCUUGGUAAGUUAGAGGUGAAAGCCCGGAGCUCAACUCCGGAAUUGCCUUUAAGACUGCCGAGCUAGUAGGUGAGAGAGGUAAGUGGAAUUCCGAGUGUAGAGGUGAAAUUCGUAGAUAUUCGGAAGAACACCAGUGGCGAAGGCGGCUUACUGGCUCAUUCUAGGCGCUGAGGUGCGAAAGCGUGGGGAGCAAACAGGAUUAGAUACCCCCGUAGUCCCUGUCUCUUAUAC
Molecule: ribosomal RNA, 301 nt
Filed under: uncultured bacterium
Lineage: Bacteria
Description: partial 16S ribosomal RNA
Rfam family: Bacterial small subunit ribosomal RNA
Source: RNAcentral